Molecule: ribosomal RNA, 301 nt
Filed under: uncultured bacterium
Lineage: Bacteria
Description: partial 16S ribosomal RNA
Rfam family: Bacterial small subunit ribosomal RNA
Source: RNAcentral
CAGUCGCCACGGUAAUACGAAGGGUGCAAGCGUUACUCGGAAUUACUGGGCGUAAAGCGUGCGUAGGUGGUGGUUUAAGUCCGUUGUGAAAGCCCUGGGCUCAACCUGGGAAUUGCAGUGGAUACUGGGUCACUAAAGUGUGGUAGAGGAUAGUGGAAUUUCCGGUGUAGCAGUGAAAUGCGUAGAGAUCGGAAGGAACAUCUGUGGCGAAGGCGACUAUCUGGGCCAACACUGACACUGAGGCACGAAAGCGUGGGGAGCAAACAGGAUUAGAUACCCCCGUAGUCCCUGUCUCUUAUAC